This 484-nucleotide ribosomal RNA is filed under the name uncultured bacterium. RNAcentral describes it as "partial 16S ribosomal RNA". It matches the Rfam family "Bacterial small subunit ribosomal RNA", at positions 29 to 507 of the family's 1533-position model. The record is from RNAcentral.
AGUGAACGCUGGCGGCAGGCCUAACACAUGCAAGUCGAGCGGCAGCGCGGGGGCAACCCUGGCGGCGAGCGGCGGACGGGUGAGGAAUUCGUCGGAAUCUGCCUUUUUGUGGGAGAUAACGUAGGGAAACUUACGCUAAUACCGCAUACGUCCUACGGGAGAAAGUGGGGGACCGCAAGGCCUCACGCAGAAAGAUGAGCCGACGACCGAUUAGCUAGUUGGUGGGGUAAAGGCCCACCAAGGCGACAAUCGGUAGCUGGUCUGAGAGGAUGAUCAGCCACACUGGGACUGAGACACGGCCCAGACUCCUACGGGAGGCAGCAGUGGGGAAUAUUGGACAAUGGGCGCAAGCCUGAUCCAGCCAUGCCGCGUGUGUGAAGAAGGCCUUCGGGUUGUAAAGCACUUUUGUCCGGAAAGAAAUCCCUGGAGCUAAUACCUUCGGGGGAUGACGGUACCGGAAGAAUAAGCACCGGCUAACUUCGUG